UGUGAACUAUUAUUAGUAUGUUUUGGAAUCAAUUCAAUUCUACUUAGUGAGUGUUCACAUAAAUUUGGAUUAGUUUAGUGAUAUUUUAAUUUUUUCAAAGGUCUCCUUGGCCCUGCUACUAUGGGGUUUUCAGGCACAAAUAGUCCUGCAGGUGCAGGUGUUCAGCAGAUGGAAUAAAGCUGCCAUAAAAGUGCAGGUGUGCACAGCAGUCGUUCCUUCAAGAGACUCUUCUGAAGCCUGGUUUGAUUUGGAGGGGGGAAAAAGGGUCAAGAUAACAGAAAACUUCCAGUAAGUCGGGUACCAGCAGCUCCUGGAGAUGGUUUUGGCCACUGAGCAGCAGAUCCAUCUGUUCUCCUGUUUUCCAGGCGGACAGGAAUUUCUGCCAGGCCAGCCCUGAGCCAGGCAGAAGCUGUGGCAAUAUGGAGCAGAAUUUGGUUUCAUGUUAGCAGGCCUUUCAGGAGGUUUAUUGACUCCAUUUCUCUCUUGUGCUAGGUUAAUCCAUGCAGCUUCCAGCUGAUCUGGAGUGAUGAGUGCUUUUGUCUGCAAAACGCUCUCCAGACACAUUCCUGAGGCUGCCAGUAAACAGAACCACAGGUGGAAAGUGUGACUGCUGAAGGAAAAGAGUGGGUGAAAAGGUGAUUGUUAGAGCUUGGAGCCCCAGAGAAAAGAUUGAACAAAAAUCCAAAUCAGUUUAAAAGCAGAUUGAGACCAAGACUGGGAGAAAAUAACCACUUCCAAUUUCCAAAAGGAUGCCAAUAUCUUACAGACACUCAGUGAGAGGACUUGGCCAGUCAAAGUUCUGGGAGCAGAAAAUCCCAUUGUUCACAAGAUUAGUUUGCCAUCCAAACUGAUGUAUAUUGAGCAUUGUCGACCUCAUUCAAAGCUGAAAACUCUUUGUGCAUUAAUUAUGAAAUAAAUCUUGCUUCAGUGUUGUAAGUAGCA
RNAcentral lists this long non-coding RNA (942 nucleotides) under Parus major (Great Tit). Its description in RNAcentral is "lncRNA (ENSPMJG00000004448.1)". The record is from RNAcentral. Lineage: Eukaryota; Metazoa; Chordata; Aves; Passeriformes; Paridae.